GUGCUCACUUCGGCAGCACUAAUACUAAGAUUAGAACAAUACAGAGAAGACUAGCGACCCCUUCGCAAGGAUGAAACGCAAAUUCGUGAAGCGUUCCAUAUUUUU
Molecule: small nuclear RNA, 105 nt
Organism: Peromyscus maniculatus bairdii (prairie deer mouse)
Lineage: Eukaryota; Metazoa; Chordata; Mammalia; Rodentia; Cricetidae
Source: Ensembl